UAAUUAGAUAUAGUAGGUUUGGUAUACUCUAAAAUGCUUCGCUGUUUGGUGGACUUGAGGAGAGGAAAAUGGGAGAAGAGAAAGAAAUAAAGAGAAAAAGAUGAAUUUCACAUCUAGCCAAAUAACAAAAAUAAGAUUGAUUCUCUUUUUUUAUCCAUUUCCAUUCUUCUCAUCUCCUAUCAUUUCUUCCAACUAAACACAUGAUUGGAAGAUCCAAAUUUUACAAUUUUCAAUUUCAAGAAUAGUGUCGCUUUUGCUUGCAGCUUUUUUUAUUAUUAUUUUUUGGUUAUAAUUUUAUCCACGACAAUUACUAAAAAGGAAAAUAAUAAUUUUCUAAUUUUGAAUACAUUAAAAUUUACUUUAUUCUUUCUUCUUUAAUGAUGGUUCAUACUUCAUAAAUAUUGACACUAAUAAUUUUAAUUUAUAUGUUAGUGUAAUCACGUUUUAUCAUACGCUCUUGAAAGUCAAUUUUUAUAUAUUUAACACAUACAAUUCAUGAAAUUACUCAAUGAAUAUAUUAUUGAAAAAAAAAAAAGCUCAACAAAGAUAACAUACUUAAUCUUAUUAUCACUAUUUUUUAAUCCUUUUGCUAUUAAAAGUGCACUUGUAUAUGUGAGUUCGAAAACUGAAAUAUAUUUCAUUGAUAAUAUUCAAUACAAAUUAUAUAAAAAAAUAAUGAUAAAAUAUUUGGGGAAACUAAAAUUACUUGCUUCACCAUCCGAUGAAGGUGUUCGCAUAUGAUUCGGUUUACCAUAUUCCUGUUUCUCAUCCUUUUUCAUGUGGAACAUGAUUUCUUUCUUUCUAUAUAAACAUACUUUAUUAGCUCCUAUUUCUCUUUAAUAUUUUUUUCUUCUGUUGUUCAAUGAAAAAUAAAAAUUAUCCGUUGUCCAAUUAAAAUUAAAAAUUAUUCAGCAAACAAAUUACUCAGUACCAAUCGCUUGUUAUCUUUUAUUUAUCUCUAUUGUGCCGUACAAUUUGUACGUGCUCAAGUUUUUUUUUGCCAACCCCUGUUCAUAAACAAGUUUCUCAAGUCAAAGGAAAAUUUUCAUAAUUAUAAUCCAAAAGAAAUUUAAAAAAAAAAAGAAAGAAAGAAAGAAAACUAGCCAUUGAACUAUCAGAGUCUCAAUCCGGCCGAAGCUCCAAAACGUUUUUUAGGAAAGAAGCAAUUGAACUACCGCAGUACUCUCAAUACAGAGCGAGAGCGAAUUAUCAGAAUAAAAGCAGGCGAAUUAUUAAAUUACAAGGCAAGCAAAUCAUUAAGCAUAUUUCUCCGUUUCAAACCAAAACGAUCGAUUCAUCAAAAUAAAUAGAAACAUUAAGAAAAGUCUCGUUUAAAAGUCUCGUUACAAGUAAAGAAACAUGACACAUUGUAACUCAUUUAAGAUAUGUUGGUCCUCACGUUCAGAACGAGCAUUGAUACAGAGAAAUAGCAUAGGCUCAUAUUAACCCAUGCAAGUCGAUAAUGCAAAUAGUUAUAUGCCAAUUAUGGACAGAUAAAUGCAGCAGACAAAUAAAGCAAAAACUGUAUACGCCUUAAUAAAAAUAUCAUUGUAAUUUUAACAAUUUUUAUAUUUUUUAUGAUUAUGUCAUCUCUUUCUCACCGAACAAAAAUCCUAGAGUCUCAAGAGAACAAUAUUUUAAAAUUUAUUUAUUUUUUAUUGGGUGAGGUUAUUA
This 1674-nucleotide long non-coding RNA is filed under the name Citrus x clementina. RNAcentral's name for it is "Citrus clementina (C. clementina) long non-coding RNA (CCLE_LNC002607)". The record is from RNAcentral. Lineage: Eukaryota; Viridiplantae; Streptophyta; Magnoliopsida; Sapindales; Rutaceae.